Molecule: ribosomal RNA, 889 nt
Filed under: Gnomoniopsis idaeicola
Lineage: Eukaryota; Fungi; Ascomycota; Sordariomycetes; Diaporthales; Gnomoniaceae
Description: LSU rRNA
Rfam family: Eukaryotic large subunit ribosomal RNA
Source: RNAcentral
CAAUAAGCGGAGGAAAAGAAACCAACAGGGAUUGCCCUAGUAACGGCGAGUGAAGCGGCAACAGCUCAAAUUUGAAAUCUGGCUUCGGCCCGAGUUGUAAUUUGCAGAGGAUGUUUAUGGUGCGGUACCUUCCGAGUUCCCUGGAACGGGACGCCACAGAGGGUGAGAGCCCCGUCUGGUUGGAUACCAAACCUGUGUUAAACUCCUUCAACGAGUCGAGUAGUUUGGGAAUGCUGCUCUAAAUGGGAGGUAAAUCUCUUCUAAAGCUAAAUACCGGCCAGAGACCGAUAGCGCACAAGUAGAGUGAUCGAAAGAUGAAAAGCACCUUGAAAAGGGGGUUAAACAGUACGUGAAAUUGUUAAAAGGGAAGCGUUUAUGACCAGACUUGUGUCGUGUGGCUCAUCCGAGGUUCUCCCCGGUGCACUCCACACGGCUCAGGCCAACAUCGGUUCUCGUUGGGGGAUAAGAACAGUAGGAACGUGGCCCUUUUCGAAGGGUGUUAUAGCCUGCUGUACGAUACCCUGAUGGGGACCGAGGACCGCGCUUCGGCUAGGAUGUUGGCGUAAUGGUCAUUAGCGACCCGUCUUGAAACACGGACCAAGGAGUCGUCCAUUAGAGCGAGCGUUUGGGUGUAAAACCCGCACGCGUAAUGAAAGUGAAAUUAGGUGAGAGCUUCGGCGCAUCAUCGACCGAUCCUGAAGUUUACGGAUGGAUUUGAGUAAGAGUUUUAACGGACGGACCCGAAAGACAGUGAACUAUGCUUGAAUAGGGUGAAGCCAGAGGAAACUCUGGUGGAGGCUCGCAGCGGUUCUGACGUGCAAAUCGAUCGUCAAAUUUGAGCAUGGGGGCGAAAGACUAAUCGAACUGUCUAGUAGCUGGUUACCGCCGA